GAAAAACACCCCCAUUCUCGCACGUAUUCACUCUGGGGUCUUGAUAUACCUUUUAUCUAGAGCUGUAUUGGUUUUCCGUGGUGGGGUCCCUUAAAAAAUGCCAUUGGGUAGUCCCAACUUCCCAUUUCCCCUGGGGUUGUCCCUUUCGGGGGCGACGCGGGGUGAACCAUGAAGUAAUCUCUGCGUCCCACUCCACCCACAUUAGGUUGUGGUCGUGGAUUGGUCCGCAGGGCAUUCGCUUGAGCUCUCGGAUGCGGUGCAUUAUAAGCGGGCACGAGGACUCACGUCCUCUAUUUGCCCGAAAUAAAGCUUUCGUCGCUUAGUUGCGAACGAUUGCGAUCCCCGUUACGAGCCCUCGGGCGAGUUAGCGGGGUUGUUUCCUUGAGGAA
RNAcentral lists this unclassified non-coding RNA (389 nucleotides) under Plagiobothrys scriptus. RNAcentral's name for it is "partial external transcribed spacer". Lineage: Eukaryota; Viridiplantae; Streptophyta; Magnoliopsida; Boraginales; Boraginaceae. The record is from RNAcentral.